AGAGUUUGAUCCNGNGCUCAGGAUGAACGCUGGCGGCGUGCCUAACACAUGCAAGUCGAGCGAUCUUCUUCGGAAGAGAGCGGCGGACGGGUGAGUAACGCGUGGGUAACCUGCCCUGUACACACGGAUAACAUACCGAAAGGUAUGCUAAUACGAGAUAAUAUGCUUUUAUCGCAUGGUAGAAGUAUCAAAGCUCCGGCGGUACAGGAUGGACCCGCGUCUGAUUAGCUAGUUGGUAAGGUAACGGCUUACCAAGGCGACGAUCAGUAGCCGACCUGAGAGGGUGAUCGGCCACAUUGGAACUGAGACACGGUCCAAACUCCUACGGGAGGCAGCAGUGGGGAAUAUUGCACAAUGGGCGAAAGCCUGAUGCAGCAACGCCGCGUGAGCGAUGAAGGCCUUCGGGUUGUAAAGCUCUUUCAGCUGGAACGAAACGGUACGCUCUAACAUAGCGUGCUAAUGACGGUACCGGCAGAAGAAGCACCGGCUAACUACGUGCCAGCAGCCGCGGUAAUACGUAGGGUGCGAGCGUUAAUCGGAAUUACUGGGCGUAAAGCGUGCGCAGGCGGAUUGUUAAGCAAGACGUGAAAGCCCCGGGCUUAACCUGGGAAUGGCGUUUUGAACUGGCAGUCUAGAGUGCGUCAGAGGGGGGUGGAAUUCCACGUGUAGCAGUGAAAUGCGUAGAGAUGUGGAGGAACACCGAUGGCGAA
RNAcentral lists this ribosomal RNA (710 nucleotides) under uncultured bacterium. RNAcentral's name for it is "bacterial SSU rRNA". It matches the Rfam family "Bacterial small subunit ribosomal RNA", at positions 8 to 719 of the family's 1533-position model. The record is from RNAcentral.